CAGCAGCCACGGUAAUACAGAGGGUGCAAGCGUUAAUCGGAAUUACUGGGCGUAAAGCGCGCGUAGGUGGUUUGUUAAGUUGGAUGUGAAAUCCCCGGGCUCAACCUGGGAACUGCAUCCAAAACUGGCAGGCUAGAGUAGGGCAGAGGGUGGUGGAAUUUCCUGUGUAGCGGUGAAAUGCGUAGAUAUAGGAAGGAACACCAGUGGCGAAGGCGACCACCUGGGCUCAUACUGACACUGAGGUGCGAAAGCGUGGGGAGCAAACAGGAUUAGAUACCCGCGUAGUCCCUGUCUCUUAUAC
RNAcentral lists this ribosomal RNA (301 nucleotides) under uncultured bacterium. RNAcentral's name for it is "partial 16S ribosomal RNA". It matches the Rfam family "Bacterial small subunit ribosomal RNA", at positions 509 to 807 of the family's 1533-position model. The record is from RNAcentral.